GGCACAGUAGCUUAGUGGUUAACAUGUUUGCCUCACACCUCCAGGGUUGGGGGCUCAAUUCCCAUCUCUGCCC
Non-coding RNA from Pangasianodon gigas (Mekong giant catfish), 73 nucleotides. NCBI's taxonomy places the organism in Eukaryota, Metazoa, Chordata, Actinopteri, Siluriformes, Pangasiidae. The record is from the annotation of a GenBank genome assembly.